This 82-nucleotide ribosomal RNA is filed under the name uncultured archaeon A07HR67. The record is from RNAcentral.
GAAGGCGGCCAGAGCGGUGGGGAGACACCCGUACCCAUUCCGAACACGGAAGUUAAGCCCACCAGCGUACCGGGAAGUACUG